AACUCUCGGGGCGCUCCCUAGCCCUGGGUGGGUGGAGCGGGGGAAGCGGAGUACGUUGGACCCGGCUCCGCCCUACCCCACGGGGCCGCCUGGAGAGGUGCUGGGAGCUGGGUGGAGCUUAGAGGAAUUAAACUUUGGCCCUGCGCCUCGUCCAGCCUAGGUUCCACCCUUUUCUGGGAACGUGAGUAUCAACCAAGGCUGGAGUGCAGUGGCA
Molecule: long non-coding RNA, 214 nt
Organism: Homo sapiens (human)
Lineage: Eukaryota; Metazoa; Chordata; Mammalia; Primates; Hominidae
Exons: 2
Source: RefSeq, a predicted model, not a curated record